UGUACUGACAUUUCUUAACUGUGACAUUAGGACUAUACAGUCCACAAGUAUUCUGUGUAAUAUUUUAUAUAUGUUUAUGAGUGUUUUCAUUAUUUGUCACACUCUUAGUAAGACUUUAAUGACCCUCAAGAAUUGUGCACAUCUCCCACUGUAACUCAAGCAAGCUGUCAAUCAUAUUCAUAAAUUAUGCCAAAUUUACAAAAUAUUUGGUUUUGAAUUGUCUUUAAACUGUGUUCCAUGUGUUGUCAGAUUCAACAUGUUUCUUAAUUGGCUAACAAAAUAAGCAGAAAGAACAAUCUGCCCUUCCUCAGGUUUAUCAAAUGUCAUGUUUAAAGGAACAGAAUUAAAAAAAUAAAUACACUAAGUUCUUAUAAUUCUAUAUAAUAUAAAACCAGACUGUCCGAUUUAACACCGUUUCUGUUGAGCUGAGCAAUAUUCAUUACGUGCACCCAGUUUGCCAUUGAGCACAUGUCCAUAAUUUCUUACAACAUUCACAAUGGCACAGUAAUAAACUACCAGAGUAAAUUAUUUUACUCCCAGAUUAUAACACAUUAUCACAAGGUGUAUCAAAUAUUCACACAGAUUCAACAGACUCUUCGAAAAAAGUGAUAAAGUACUACAUAAGAAUUAUUUUUCUAUAUCUAUUUUUAAAGUUCCAUUUAAAAGUCAAAUUUAGCAGCAAUAAAUACAUACAAACAGAAACCAGACACUGUAGUUGUGUUGGGCCCUAUGACUCAUACUCUAUAUUCACAGCAUCUCACUUAAGAAAUGCAAAAUUUUCUUUUACUUCAGGAUUGUAAUACAGUACUACACUGAAUGUUAUGUUUAUCCGGUCUCAUGUAAUAUACAGUAUUUAGAAGGCCAGAAUAUGUGAAAGCUACAGUAGUUUAUCAUUUACAUCCAUCGCAGUAUAACCACUCAUAACUGCUUGUCAAAUGUAAUAUAUUCUUUGUUAACCGAUAGUGUAACAACAAAUAUAUAAAAACAGGUCUCAAUAAUCUUAAUUGAUUAAAUGUUCAGGUUUUAAUAAAGAAAUUUGUGUUUUCUCUUAAUUUAAUAAAUGCUAAAAUUCGUUAAUUGAUGCGACUUCCUUUAAAAUAUGUCUAAAAUCUAACAGUACGUUGCCAGACCUGAAUCUAUUCAUUAAUAAAUAUCGCCAUGAGCCGGUGACAUUUCGCCUCUUCAGCAGCGUUUUAUGAUAGACCGGAAAACUUGAAUAAGAAGCCAACUCCAGCCUAGAGGGCAUCAACCCCGAACCGGAAAUCCAAAGGGUGGAGUUGGACUUGAUGUCGUGUUUCAUUGGUCCGGACUUUCGAAUUGGAUACGGCUCAGUUGCAAUUUCCCUCCUCAGACUUCUGUUUACAGACCAAUCUUGGGGAUGGAAAGGAGACCUGCAUCAGAAGACGAAGUGUAUCCUAACAAGGACCAGCUAGAACCAACAAUGAGGAACACACCGUAAUGGGUACAGGUGAUGGCACCCUCCACUGACUGACAGACUGGACAGUGUGUCCUUAACCUAAACUAACACCUAAUUAAACUCCAAAAUGAUAAAUUAAGAAAAUUAAAAGUAAUAAAAGUUUAAGUUUGAUUCGCACUGUUUUUUUUAGAUUAGAAUUGGAGAGGGGAGAAGAUAAUUGAAUAAUUCAAACAAAUUACUUAAGCAUAAUUGUAUCUGGCCCUUCUUAUUCUCCACAAUUCUCUGCACAUUCACCACUCUACUUUCCAGUGGUUUGUAGCAGCUCUAAUGAUUAUCUACAAUAUUAUUUCAGAUUAAAUGUACAAUUAGGAUUAUGCUAAUCUUGUGUAAAAUUGCCUUCAUACAUACAAUACCUGUUGUCUUUACUCUGUGAGGAACUUGCAUAUUAGCUGCACCAACACCUCCUCUUGCCACAAGACACUAUGACAGUGGCGACACCGAGGAAGCAAGAGACGAGGCUGCAAGGAAGUACUCUUUAUUUUCCAUCAUUCCAUCAAUGUCCUCAGACAACCAGAAUUGUCUAAACAUGGAAGAAGAUCAGGUCUGCUAUUUCCAACGCUGACUGCUGUUUCCAACGUGAGCUAGAGGGGCGUAUAUAGCCCUGAGCCAAAGCUUCCCUGAUGUACUGUUCCAUCCUCUGGGUCUCCUCCUGGGAGAUAGACUCUACUCCUCGGUGGUACAGCUCAGUCCCUCAGAAUUAUGGCACAGUCUCAGUCAUGAUGGGGAGGUAGCUGGGUUGCCUUCACUGUACUGAAAACCUCUGCCAAGUCUUGGUACUCCUGAGGAAUGAUGAUUCCCUUGUCAGCGUCAAGGGUUGUGUGUGCAUAUCCAAGGAAGACCUAAUGUGAGGGGGUGAGAAAGAGAGGAGAGUAAAUAAAAGGAUGUGUGUUCUAUGUGCUCAUUUAUUUCGAGGAAAACUCUAGGAGUGACAUGAGUGAUGAAUCCCGAACCCACAGGUCCCCCAUCAAGUGCUUGCACACUUAAAGGAGAAGGCAGGGAAAUUGCCUUUAUCCCCAGUUUCCUUGCAAUGCUCCAUUCCAUCGGAUUCCCUGCUGCUCCUGAGUCCACAAGUGCCAUAGAGCGAAUCUCCUAAGUUCCAGCCUCUGCUGUUCAAGUCUCGCCAUCUAAACAGAUAGCAGCUGUGCCCAGUCGGGACUGCUUGCCUCGCUCCCAGUAGGCUGCACAUUUUGUGAAGGUGGCGACACAGAGGGAGCGAGAGACGGGGCUGCAAGGAAGUGAUUUUCCAUCAUAAACAAAUGAAGAGUAGAACAAAAACAAAGGAAUCAGAAUACGUACAUCCUGCUGGAUGACCAGCCAACCAUGACAGAUGUGCUUGAUUAGGCUUGUACCAGUUUAAUUGUCACAUUCAUUUAUCAUGCCAGUGUUAAGAAUGGUUUUGUGCUCAAAAACCUACUGUUGAUGGACAGUAUAACCUCUGAGCCUUGGCAGUAAGAUUUUAGCACAAAGAAAUCUUGUUCUUUAACCAUAAUGAAUAAACAAAAAGUCAGUAAAUCAUAUAUGAUUCUGAUUAGUUACUAAUUAAGCAUAGAUCCAGGGGUGCUGUACAAUGGCUGACCCUGUGCUCUGACCCCAUCUUACAAAGAAGCUGGCAUAUGCGAAGAGAAGGAUGUAGAUGUAUAUGUAGAUGUAUAUAUGAAGAGAUAUAUAUGUAUAUAUGACAAAAUAAAGGCAUUUCAUCUGGCCUA
Electrophorus electricus (electric eel) is the source of this 3183-nucleotide long non-coding RNA. RefSeq lists it as uncharacterized. Lineage: Eukaryota; Metazoa; Chordata; Actinopteri; Gymnotiformes; Gymnotidae. The record is from RefSeq and is a predicted model, not a curated record.